Danio rerio (zebrafish) is the source of this 117-nucleotide ribosomal RNA. NCBI's taxonomy places the organism in Eukaryota, Metazoa, Chordata, Actinopteri, Cypriniformes, Danionidae. The record is from Ensembl.
AUGAACCGCCGUAUCACCCUGCAGCCCAAGACCGGUUACUCACUAAAACUAAGCAGGGCUGAGCCUAGUCAGUACCUAGAUAAGAGACCACAUGGGAAAACUAGGUUGCCGUUGGAA